GCUUGGAUAGUUUAGACGGUAGAGCACGAGACUCUUAAUUUCGGGGUCCUGGGUUCGAGCCCCACGAUGGGCG
Molecule: non-coding RNA, 73 nt
Organism: Ixodes scapularis (black-legged tick)
Lineage: Eukaryota; Metazoa; Arthropoda; Arachnida; Ixodida; Ixodidae
Source: Rfam